RNAcentral lists this ribosomal RNA (253 nucleotides) under uncultured bacterium. Its description in RNAcentral is "partial 16S ribosomal RNA". It matches the Rfam family "Bacterial small subunit ribosomal RNA", at positions 524 to 776 of the family's 1533-position model. The record is from RNAcentral.
UGCAGAGGGUGCAAGCGUUAAUCGGAAUUACUGGGCGUAAAGCGUGCGUAGACGGUCAUGUAAGUCGGGUGUGAAAGCCCCGGGCUCAACCUGGGAAUUGCAUUCGAGACUGCAUGGCUAGGGUGCGGAAGAGGGAAGCGGAAUUUCCGGUGUAGCGGUGAAAUGCGUAGAUAUCGGAAGGAACACCAGUGGCGAAAGCGGCUUCCUGGUCCAGCACCGACGUUCAGGCACGAAAGCGUGGGGAGCAAACAGG